This 463-nucleotide ribosomal RNA is filed under the name uncultured bacterium. RNAcentral describes it as "partial 16S ribosomal RNA". It matches the Rfam family "Bacterial small subunit ribosomal RNA", at positions 28 to 507 of the family's 1533-position model. The record is from RNAcentral.
GAUGAACGCUGACAGAAUGCUUAACACAUGCAAGUCUUUGGCGAAGCUGUGCUUGCUCAGCCUAGCCAAGGCGGACGGGUGAGUAACGCGUAAGGAACUUGCCCUGCAGUCAGGGAUAACAGACGGAAACGACUGAUAAGACCUGGUAAAGUCAGGCGGACUCAUGUCCAGCCUGAUGAAAAGAGACGCUGCAGGAGAGCCUUGCGUCCUAUUAGCUUGUUGGUGGGGUAACGGCCCACCAAGGCGAUGAUAGGUAGCCGGCCUGAGAGGGUGGACGGCCACAAGGGGACUGAGAUACGGCCGUUACUCCUACGGGGGGCAGCAGUGGGGAAUAGUGGACAAUGGGGGCAACCCUGAUCCAGCAAUUCUGUGUGCAAGAUGAAGGUUUUCGGAUUGUAAAGUGCUUUCAGCAGGGAAGAAAAAAAUGACGGUACCUGCAGAAGAAGCGACGGCUAAAUACGUG